CAGCAGCCGCGGUAAUACGGGAGUGGCAAGCGUUAUCCGGAAUUAUUGGGCGUAAAGCAUCCGCAGGCGGCCCUUCAAGUCUGCUGUUAAAACGUGGAGCUUAACUCCAUCAUGGCAGUGGAAACUGUUGGGCUUGAGUGUGGUAGGGGCAGAGGGAAUUCCCGGUGUAGCGGUGAAAUGCGUAGAUAUCGGGAAGAACACCAGUGGCGAAGGCGCUCUACUGGGCCAUAACUGACGCUCAUGGACGAAAGCCAGGGGAGCGAAAGGGAUUAGAUACCCCUGUAGUCCUGGCCGUAAACGAUGAACACUAGGUGUCGGGGGAAUCGACCCCCUCGGUGUCGUAGCCAACGCGUUAAGUGUUCCGCCUGGGGAGUACGCACGCAAGUGUGAAACUCAAAGGAAUUGACGGGGGCCCGCACAAGCGGUGGAGUAUGUGGUUUAAUUCGAUGCAACGCGAAGAACCUUACCAGGGUUUGACAUCCUGCGAACCUCUUGGAAACGAGAGGGUGCCUUCGGGAACGCAGUGACAGGUGGUGCAUGGCUGUCGUCAGCUCGUGUCGUGAGAUGUUGGGUUAAGUCCCGCAACGAGCGCAACCCACGUCUUUAGUUGCCAGCAUUUAGUUGGGCACUCUAGAGAGACCGCCGGUGAUAAACCGGAGGAAGGUGUGGAUGACGUCAAGUCAUCAUGCCCCUUACAUCCUGGGCUACACACGUACUACAAUGCUACGGACAAAGAGCAGCAAGUUCGCGAGGACAAGCAAAUCUCAUAAACCGUGGCUCAGUUCAGAUCGUAGGCUGCAACUCGCCUACGUGAAGGAGGAAUCGCUAGUAAUCGCAGGUCAGCAUACUGCGGUGAAUACGUUCCCGGGCCUUGUACACACCGCCCGUCACACCAUGGAAGUUGGCCACGCCCGAAGCCGUUACUCCAACCCUUGUGGAGGAGGACGUCGAAGGUGGGGCUGAUGACUGGGGUG
RNAcentral lists this ribosomal RNA (974 nucleotides) under uncultured bacterium. Its description in RNAcentral is "bacterial SSU rRNA". It matches the Rfam family "Bacterial small subunit ribosomal RNA", at positions 509 to 1482 of the family's 1533-position model. The record is from RNAcentral.